RNAcentral lists this ribosomal RNA (465 nucleotides) under uncultured bacterium. RNAcentral describes it as "partial 16S ribosomal RNA". It matches the Rfam family "Bacterial small subunit ribosomal RNA", at positions 28 to 507 of the family's 1533-position model. The record is from RNAcentral.
GAUGAACGCUGGCGGCGUGCUUAACACAUGCAAGUCGAACGGAAAGGCUCCUGCUUGCCGGGGUUCUCGAGUGGCGAACGGGGGAGUAACACGUGGGGGAUCUGCCCUGCACUUCGGGAUAAGCCUUGGAAAAUGGGGCUAAUACCGGAUAGGACAUUGGGUUGGAUGCCAUUCUGGAAAGUUUUGCGGUUUUGGUUGAGCUCGCGGCCUAUCAGCUUGUUGGUGGGGUAAUGGCCUACGAAGGCGUAGACGGGUAGCCGGCAUGAGAGCGUGGACGGGGACAUUGGGCCUGCGAUACGGAGCAGAAGCGUACGGGCGGCAGCAGUGGGGAGUAUUGCACAAUGGGCGCGAGCGUGAUGCAGAGACGCCGGGUGGGGGAUGACGGCCUACGGGUUGUAAACUACUUUCGCUAGGGACGAAGCGGAAGUGACGGUACCUGGAGAAGAAGCACCGGCUAACUACGUG